GGUAAAAUAGAAUAAAAAGUUCGUUUCAUUUACACUGAAAAAGUCUGUUGUAGUGGUUUUACUU
RNAcentral lists this transfer RNA (64 nucleotides) under Vignadula atrata. Its description in RNAcentral is "tRNA-Val". The record is from RNAcentral. Lineage: Eukaryota; Metazoa; Mollusca; Bivalvia; Mytilida; Modiolidae.